Molecule: ribosomal RNA, 257 nt
Filed under: uncultured bacterium
Lineage: Bacteria
Description: partial 16S ribosomal RNA
Rfam family: Bacterial small subunit ribosomal RNA
Source: RNAcentral
AAGAAGCGAAGCCGUAAGGUGGAGCAAACCUCAAAAAUCAGAUCCCAGUUCAGAUUGUGGGCUGAAACUCGCCCACAUGAAGACGGAGUUGCUAGUAAUCGCGAAUCAGCAUGUCGCGGUGAAUGCGUUCCCGGGCCUUGUACACACCGCCCGUCACACCAUGGGAGUUGGGAGCGCCCGAAGCCGGUGGCUUAACCGCAAGGAGAGAGCCGUCUAAGGUGAGACCGAUGACUGGGGUGAAGUCGUAACAAGGUACC